AAGUCGUAACAAGGUCUCCGUAGGUGAACCUGCGGAGGGAUCAUUACCGAGUGAGGGCCCCCGGCCCGACCUCCCACCCUUUGUGAUAAUGCCCUUGUUUCCUCGGGGGUCGCGCUCGCGCGCGCCCCCGGCGGACCACACCAACGCGGUUGUUUGAGCGUCGGUUUGAUUGAAGAAUAGAAUCAAAACUUUCAACAACGGAUCUCUUGGUUCUGGCAUCGAUGAAGAACGCAGCGAAAUGCGAUAAGUAAUGUGAAUUGCAGAAUUCAGUGAAUCAUCGAGUUUUUGAACGCACAUUGCGCCCUCUGGUAUUCCGGGGGGCAUGCCUGUUCGAGCGUCAUUGCACCCAUCGAGCCCGGCUCGGUAUUGGGACCCGGGGGUGACCCGGCCCCUAACGUCUCCGGCUGGAGCGUCGCGAUCGCAGCGUUGUGAUACAUCAAUUCGCUGGCGGUUCGGGCGCGGCACGCCGUGAAACCCUUCUAAAGUUUGACCUCGGAUCAGGUAGGGAUACCCGCUGAACUUAA
Molecule: ribosomal RNA, 524 nt
Filed under: uncultured fungus
Lineage: Eukaryota; Fungi
Description: eukaryotic LSU rRNA
Rfam family: 5.8S ribosomal RNA (bases 187-340)
Source: RNAcentral